Zeugodacus cucurbitae (melon fly) is the source of this 541-nucleotide long non-coding RNA. RefSeq lists it as uncharacterized. The record is from RefSeq and is a predicted model, not a curated record. The transcript is spliced from 2 exons. Lineage: Eukaryota; Metazoa; Arthropoda; Insecta; Diptera; Tephritidae.
UACAACAAAUACAAAUUCUAUAAGCUGAUUGGCAGAUUUUUCUAAGUCGGGUUACGAAUUUUUAUACACCUUCAUAAAAGCUAAUAAAUGGUCGUCAAACAAAAGAAUCAUGACACGCCCAAAUUCUAAAAUAUUGCUUUAAGUGAAUUAAAUAUACCAUAUAAAAGUCGGAGUGAGAGGAAACAUAUUUGGGAGCAAAAAAAAAAAAAUGGCUUCCGAUAACGAUGACGUGUUAUUAUUAUCUUGGCAGUUUAAAUAUCAAAUAUAUAUCAAAUAUAUAUCAAAUAUAUAUCAAAUAUAUAUCAAAUAUAUAUCCUAUUAUUUCUAAAACUAGUAACUUACCAUGGUGCAUAAAACAUAACCAAUGUAGUUUCAUGUUGCUUUAACACAGAAUUGAAAUUGUCAUCCGUCAAAUCCAGCACAUCUUGCUCAGCGCCAGCAACUAGUGCCACAGAAAUGCAAAGAAUCACUAGUAAUCGAUGCAUUGCAAAACUUUUAUAAACGGUCGCUAGUUUAUAAUAAAUGGAAUCACAACUUUUAA